UCUGAUUUAGCAUAUUUAAUGCGGGAGGUUGUAGCCCUUUUGAAGGUGAAAUUUUCCUGAUCAGGA
This 66-nucleotide transfer RNA is filed under the name Anoplocephala perfoliata. RNAcentral's name for it is "tRNA-Tyr". The record is from RNAcentral. Lineage: Eukaryota; Metazoa; Platyhelminthes; Cestoda; Cyclophyllidea; Anoplocephalidae.